ACUUAAAUUGAAGAGUUUGAUCAUGGCUCAGAUUGAACGCUGGCGGCAGGCCUAACACAUGCAAGUCGAGCGGUAGCACAGAGAGCUUGCUCUCGGGUGACGAGCGGCGGACGGGUGAGUAAUGUCUGGGAAACUGCCUGAUGGAGGGGGAUAACUACUGGAAACGGUAGCUAAUACCGCAUAAUGUCGCAAGACCAAAGUGGGGGACCUUCGGGCCUCAUGCCAUCAGAUGUGCCCAGAUGGGAUUAGCUAGUAGGUGGGGUAACGGCUCACCUAGGCGACGAUCCCUAGCUGGUCUGAGAGGAUGACCAGCCACACUGGAACUGAGACACGGUCCAGACUCCUACGGGAGGCAGCAGUGGGGAAUAUUGCACAAUGGGCGCAAGCCUGAUGCAGCCAUGCCGCGUGUGUGAAGAAGGCCUUCGGGUUGUAAAGCACUUUCAGCGGGGAGGAAGGCGGUGAGGUUAAUAACCUCAUCGAUUGACGUUACCCGCAGAAGAAGCAC
Molecule: ribosomal RNA, 505 nt
Filed under: Klebsiella pneumoniae
Lineage: Bacteria; Pseudomonadati; Pseudomonadota; Gammaproteobacteria; Enterobacterales; Enterobacteriaceae
Description: bacterial SSU rRNA
Rfam family: Bacterial small subunit ribosomal RNA
Source: RNAcentral